AAAGUCGUAACAAGGUCUCCGUAGGUGAACCUGCGGAGGGAUCAUUAACAAAUCAAACACAAACACUGUGUAACUGUCUGUUCCUGGGUUUGCUGCAGUUGCUUUUGUGCUUAUGUGGGGAGUGUGUAAGCCUUGAUGAGCAUUGCAGAGGAUGCCCAGGACCAACCUACAAACUAUUGUCAGAUGUAUUACAAACGUAAUCAAAAACAACUUUUAACAAUGGAUCUCUUGGCUCUU
RNAcentral lists this unclassified non-coding RNA (237 nucleotides) under Ascomycota sp. Its description in RNAcentral is "partial contains small subunit ribosomal RNA, internal transcribed spacer 1, and 5.8S ribosomal RNA". The stretch from base 1 to 47 matches the Rfam family "Eukaryotic small subunit ribosomal RNA", at positions 1785 to 1831 of the family's 1831-position model. Lineage: Eukaryota; Fungi; Ascomycota. The record is from RNAcentral.